Molecule: ribosomal RNA, 303 nt
Filed under: uncultured bacterium
Lineage: Bacteria
Description: partial 16S ribosomal RNA
Rfam family: Bacterial small subunit ribosomal RNA
Source: RNAcentral
AGCAGUAGCCGCGGGAAUACGUAGGGUGCGAGCGUUAAUCGGAAUUACUGGGCGUAAAGCGUGCGCAGGCGGUUCGUUAAGUCAGAUGUGAAAUCCCCGAGCUUAACUCGGGAACUGCAUUUGAAACUGGCAGGCUAGAGUCUCGUAGAGGGGGGUAGAAUUCCAGGUGUAGCGGUGAAAUGCGUAGAGAUCUGGAGGAAUACCGGUGGCGAAGGCGGCCCCCUGGACGAAGACUGACGCUCAGGUACGAAAGCGUGGGGAGCAAACAGGAUUAGAUACCCCUGUAGUCCCUGUCUCUUAUAC